RNAcentral lists this ribosomal RNA (458 nucleotides) under uncultured bacterium. Its description in RNAcentral is "partial 16S ribosomal RNA". It matches the Rfam family "Bacterial small subunit ribosomal RNA", at positions 338 to 795 of the family's 1533-position model. The record is from RNAcentral.
CCUACGGGGUGCAGCAGUGGGGAAUAUUGCACAAUGGGGGAAACCCUGAUGCAGCGACGCCGCGUGAGUGAAGAAGUAAUUCGUUACGUAAAGCUCUAUCAGCAGGGAAGAAACACUGACCUUACGGUCAGCAGACGGUACCUGAGUAAGAAGCCACGGCUAACUACGUGCCAGCAGCCGCGGUACUACGUAGGGGGCAAGCGUUAUCCGGAUUUACUGGGUGUAAAGGGAGCGUCGACGGUGCGCGAAGUCUGGAGUGAAAUGCCGCAGCUUAACUGCGGAACUGCUUUGGAAACUGGCGAACUAGAGUGCGGGAGGGGUGAGCAGAAUUCCUAGUGUAGCGGUGAAAUGCGUAGAUAUUAGGAGGAACACCGGUGGCGAAGGCGGCUUACUGGACCGUAACUGACGUUGAGGCUCGAAAGCGUGGGGAGCAAACAGGAUUAGAUACCCUGGUAGUC